GGAGAGUCCAGACUAUAAACUGGAGACUCUGAGGUGGAGGAGGUGAUAAACAGGAGGGUGUGUGUUGUGAGAGGAUGAGCUGUGUCCUGAUGAUCCAGAGGUUGAAGCAGACUCUGACUGGACCAUGUUACCUUUUCCUGAAGGUCUAAACGAAGUUCAGAGGGAACAGAACCCUUUAUUUUUCCAAACUAUGGAAAAAUCUGCCACUGCACAUCAGACAAUCCUCACUCUCACUGUCCAUUUAUAAAACUUGUCUUAAAACCCAUUUUUAUUCCUUGGAUCUGCUCCUUAGUGUUUUUAUUGUUUGUUUUGAGUCUCAUGAUCUUAUUCUUACCUAUGUACAUCCUGUUGUUUUGGCUGUGGUUGUUUUUAAAGUGCUCUAUAAAUAAAGUUGAGUUAACAUGUCCUGACCUGCCACCAUCAACAGUCCUUCAUGUUGUUGUGUAGCUACGUUGUCUCACCACAGCUGAUUCAGACUCCGCCUAUGGAAGUCUGCUGGACCAGACAACAUUCCUGCAGACCAGCUGAUGUUUUCACAGACAUCCCCAACAUCUCUGAGCAGCGCUGUUGUUCCAAUGUCUCUCAAGACCACUUCAAUCGUCCCUGUGUCAAAGAGGUCUACAGUGUCCUGCCUCAGUGACGAUCUGCCUCCACAACUGGAUCCUGGACGUCCUGCCAGGGAGACCUCAGUCAGUCCGGACCAGGGGCAGAAUCUCCAACACCACCACACUGAACACUGGGGUCCCUCUGGGCUGUGCGCUCAGUCCUCUGCUGUUCUGCACAGUUUGAAUCACAUCAUCGAGUUUACAGAUGACUCGACCGUGGUGGAUCUCAUCAGCAGGAACCAACAACCUGUCUCUGAACGCUGACAAAACCAAGGAGACGGUGUCCCACCUGGUGGAGAACCUCACCUGGUCUCUCAACAGCAUCGCUCUACUUACUGAGGAAGCUGAGAGUAGAGAUGAGCUGAUACAUUCUUAUCCAAACGGACUGGGAGCUGUAAUCAAACCAGAGGAUGAGGAGGUUUUUCUGCAUCUUUAGUUUUUAGCUUUUCACUCUGAGAUUCGUCACAUUGGUUUUCAGUUCACAGGUGUGUCUUUAUAUCCACUGUCCUGUCCUCAUAUGUGGACAGUUUGCUGUGAAACAAACAGAUUAUUAUUUAUUGUCAGAUAUCAAACAUCAUUUCACAUGUAAACAGCCUGAACCAGAGUAGAAACCAGACAUGUAUUUAAUAUUAAAGGCGCCUUUCAGGACAUCACAUCCUCCAGGACGCCCUGACGAAUCAGAGGCUCACAUUUCCGCAGCAGGAAGUGCUGAGGACAAAGACACCAAGCGUUAACAAAUUAAAUUAAAACAGUAGAAGAAGAAGAGGCGCUUCCUGUUCUUCUUCAGCAGGAUCACUGUGUGUUUUCCAAGUGCUGCUUGAUGUGGUUUAUUCCUGAAAAACAGUGAGGAUGAAAAUAUAAAUGGUGGAAUUAAUACAACUUUAUAAUAUGUCAUGAGCCCAACAUAAUAUUGCAUCUAUGAUUGAUUUAUGAAUUUACAAAGAGUCUAAAUGUUCAGCUAUAAACUUAUUCUUCAUUCUCCACAUGUUCAGCUCCGUAUCUUUUAAGCUGGUGCACAUGCUUUCUCUGAAACAGUAAAAGACGUUCAACCAUAA
Molecule: long non-coding RNA, 1660 nt
Organism: Mugil cephalus (flathead mullet)
Lineage: Eukaryota; Metazoa; Chordata; Actinopteri; Mugiliformes; Mugilidae
Exons: 2
Source: RefSeq, a predicted model, not a curated record